Molecule: RNA transcript, 4209 nt
Organism: Mercenaria mercenaria
Lineage: Eukaryota; Metazoa; Mollusca; Bivalvia; Venerida; Veneridae
Exons: 6
Source: RefSeq, a predicted model, not a curated record
AAGUUGACCUUUAAAAUCCUUAGUACGAUACACGCAUGCUCGACAGGUAUUUACAAGAACAGAGAAGUAAAUUACAGGGCAGAUAAGAAAAUGGCAGGUCAGUAAUGUUUUUAUGUCUUUUUUACUGGUAUUUUUGUCGAAGUUAUGAAAUAUCUUAUUGUUAUGUUUAUGUCAUUAUGUGUAUUAUUAUCACAAGAAGUUUGUUUCGAUUUUUUUUCUAAAGUGAUGUGGCAGAUAUUCCAUUGUCAAUGUUAUCUAUAAUGCAUAUUCAUUGAUCUUUAUACACGCUUGGAUUUUGUUUAUCUUAUACCGUUUUAAACAUUAUAGUCUGAUCUGCUAAACUGCAAUUAGCCCAUAUUGUUUGGUCAUGUUGCUGUACCAUGGCGGUCAUGUUGCUGCACCAUGGCGAUCUACUCACGUCGUACAUAAAACAUUCGUACACACACUUUUUUCGUAAAAUAAAAUGGCGUCGUUCGAAAUAAUCUUUUAAUCGGAAGGUUUGAAUUAUCGUAUAUAUAAAAAGAGUUUUGCUUUGUACAGUACUUGAAUAUUUGUUACCCUCUAUUAUGUAAAUUCAGGUGUAUGGACCAUAUCUCUUAGGAGAUGAAGACCAUUAACUUUUUCAAUGUAAUCAUUUCAGUUUAUCCAGAAAAAAAUCUUCCUCGUUACUAGUAAACACACCCUAAUACUCCUAAAUACUCGUUACAAUUACACACACUAUAAUGAACAAAAAAGAAAAAAAUGCAUCGAAAAAGUUGGCACUUUUUUUGUAGAAAUACACUGUCUGCUUUUGGUUAAUAUGUACAUCUAUUCUCCACUACUUGAUAUGAUAUGUAUAAAACUUAUGUUGUCUUGCAUAUCACCUUGUUUGUUUGUUUUGUAAAUAUUUUCAUGUUAUGAUCACUUGGCCUUAGUGGGCCCUGAUUGAAACAAAAUCUUGAAUCUUGCUAAUUACAAUUUAACGUGGGCGGGUCAUUUUAGAUGUUAAGAAGAUCAACGUUCCUGUUUCAAUUUUUCUGAUACUCAUGUACAGCAAACCACUUCUUUCAAAUCAUCAAUUAAAUAAUUGGUAGCACGAUUAACAGAUUUACAAGAAGUUCCAAUGUGGUUUAUACCCGCCGAAACGCACAAAAUAUAACAUAUAGAAUUCAAUUCUUAACAACCCUCUGAAGUAACAAAUUAAACCGUGUUUCGACAACUUACGAUGACAGGAACAUAAAAUCAAAACACUUCCCAUACUAAAUAGGUGUUCCCGCAUAAAAACAACAAUCUCGCCGGGUUCAUGCAUAGUUCUAAGCACAAAUAAUGAAACAAGAGUUCUCAAUAUUUUUGAAAACAUCUUAAUUAGGGAGAAUGUGCUAUAUUUAUGAUUAUUGAAAAUAUAAGUUCGCUGUCUAGGGAACAGAUUCCCGUUCUCUAGCCACUUCCUAACAGGCAUUUUAUGCUCUUUUUUGUAACGUCGUACAAAUGUUAUCGUAGCAUUUACAAAACAAUGCAUGUUUUUCAUUUAAAACAUUUUCUGUUUUAUAUUUCAUGGUGACAACAAAUACCCGGUAUAUCUGCUCCUUCUAUAGAUGAAACAACAAGGGGUUCCGUAGGACCAUACACAUGUCACAAGGAUGCUUUGUACGUCGUUAUAGCUAUAGCUGUAAUAGUUGGAGUUGCAUGUGUCAUGCUUAUAUUGUGGAUCAUGAGGCUGAAAAGAAGACAAAACGGUUACGCUCCUGUGCGUGGAAAUGAAGACGAAGUACAGAAGUAUAAAGACUUUUACGAGGAAAAGAAUAAAGAGAAAAGGCACGCUCUGCAGGAAGUAGAAACGUUUAAAGUUUUGCUUGACGAGGAGAAGAGGGAAGUACGAAAACAAAAAGCAAUGUAUGAAGAAGAGAAAGGUGAAAAAGAAGACCUACAGAGUUAUGUAUCUGUUACGUCUAAAGGUUGAGUAAACUGAUGUCGAACCGACUUACGGAUGGUAAUCCGAACAUUGCUAAUCUAAGCGAUACGAAGAGACCGACAAAAUUAGCUGAUGAGUUAUCUGAACUAUACGACAAUGAAUGGACUGGGGCUUUUGAAAGUCUUCAAAUUAUUGAUAGUAAGGAGGAAAAAGAGACAAUACAUUUCUUGUACGAUGUUUUGCAGAUUUCAUUCGGAUGGUGCAAACUCCAAGCAUAUCAACAGUUGCAGAAAUUAAAAAGGCAGUUUCUUUGCCCCGGAGAAUCAGAAGCAAAUACAACUGUUGAUGUAAAUGUCAGCAAAGAUUCAAGGACAGUAGGAAAAUUUUAGCAGAGAAGACAGUAGCAUACGUAUCAAAGAAAGUGCUUGAUGAAGUUAAAAGGAAAUUCAGGGAGUAAGAAUGGGAAAAAGCUCUCCUGCAGAAACCAGUUGAAGCAUACUGCAGAAAAUGUGCGGAGUUGACCUGGUUUCUCGCUGUGCAAAAUCCGCCCAUGCACAUUAAGUUUACUGAUGUGAAAGCUGAAGAUGUCAAAGCUUAUACAAAGUCUGGAAAUGAAAUGGACUUCGUCGUAUGGCCACCACUGUAUUUGCAAGAAAAGGGAAACCUUAUGAGCAAGGGCAUAGCUCAAUUUCGAAUGAAUCGGAUGUUUUGCCUCUGUGUUAAGGCCGUCGCGGACGGACCGGCCGAUCCGGACAUAUUUUUGGCCGAGCAUAAUAUCGGCCGGAAUCGGCCGUACCAAUAUUUUUUCGCAUUUUCAUCUUUUACUUUGAUUAAAAGUGCCGAAAUAUUGCCUUAUUAAUGUAAUUAUCCACAACGAGCGGUAUCUGUCACGAUGUAAACAACUUCGGCACACUUCGUGUCAAACGUAUCGACCCUGCUUGAUUGGAUUAAUCAUAAUUAAACGAUUAUCUGAUGUAUCUUUAAUCCAAUAUGGUUUAAAGGGCGAUUUCUUUAAUAAUCUAUUAUAAUUGUUUAAAUAGAUCUAAAACUUAUUGCUUAACUUAUCGUCAAGUUCGAAUCUUGACAAAGCCUUCAUUAUUAAUUUCGGACUGGUAGGGUGCUAGCGUAUCGUUCAAAUAGCAUAAGUCGUCCAGGUGCCAUCAUGAGUCGGUAACGUUGUGGUAACGUUGCCAAAAGUGACUAAGGACAUAGAUGAAUCAUUGUCGAAAUUGACUGAAAAUCUUAACCGAAAAUGCUUUCAAGAUGCAAGAAAACACGUAUUUAAUGACACCACAAAUCAUAAUUUUUUCUCAAGGGGACCCCCGAUCCCCACUUGAGAGAGAAGGGGAAACCCACCUCUCGUGCCUUAGGCUCUCGCGGGAAGCCUUCGGCAUCCCAUGACGGACCCCUUUUUCGAAGCCGAUGGGUACGUUUUACUAUCAUAAUGAGAGAAUUAGUUUCUAUCUUAAGACAUAGCAACAGUUUUUGCUAUUGUUACCUCUUACACAGUGUACUAUCAGCGAUACUUGCAUAAUGUUUAUUAUUAUGUGCAGCUGGCUUUACAUUCUGUACAUUCAAGAAGUUUGUAUCUUAUAUGGUAGAUUAUCAUGUACGGAAAUAUUACACUAUUCAUUUUAUGUGUAGCAAUUAAUAUGUUUAUCAUUUAACUUUGGAAUUUAACAAUUACUUAAAACUUAAAACAUUUACACAUUAACAAAAGAAUGACAUAACCUGUCUAUACAAAAUUACAAAAUUCAGGUAACAAUAGCAAAAAAUGUUGAUAUGUUUUAAGAUAGAAACAUUUUCUCUCAUUAUGGUAGUAAAAUGUACACCAUCGGCGAGCCUUUGUCUGAAAACUCUCAUCCAGUUUUUAUUUUGGUCAUUCAAUUGUAUUUUAAAGCCAGCCAGACAUUUUCAGUCACAUUUAAAACUGACAGAGCAGUCCAUGGUAUAUAGUUUUGAUAGGAUGUGUCGUGUGAUGUAUUCUUAUGACUCGAGAAUGACGGGUUUGGGCAUUGUCACUCGGAUAAGUCUCUUUGGUACUUACCAGAUGCUUUCGUCUUUGAUACUUCUAUAUCUAUCUGAAUGUUAAAGAACGUAUUCCGGCUCAACAAAUGCACCCGAUACAAUCACCGGAAAUAUGUUUGCUACAGGCGGAAUUAUAUCCGGUCUGCAGGCUUUUCCUCUCUUUCGUUAAACAUGAACUCUUUUGUUUUCUAAUAACAUCAGAAAAAAUAUGGUCGUUCCUUCGGGAAGCAGCAAGAUUUUAUCCUCUUUUUCCUAUAUACAAAUUAAACUAACGUUGACUGACCAAGUUC